This 270-nucleotide ribosomal RNA is filed under the name uncultured bacterium. RNAcentral's name for it is "partial 16S ribosomal RNA". It matches the Rfam family "Bacterial small subunit ribosomal RNA", at positions 85 to 353 of the family's 1533-position model. The record is from RNAcentral.
AAGAUGGCGACCGGCGCACGGGUGAGUAACACGUAUCCAACCUGCCGAUAACUCCGGAAUAGCCUUUCGAAAGAAAGAUUAAUACCGGAUGGCAUACGAAUAUCGCAUGAUAUUUUUAUUUAAAGAAUUUCGGUUAUCGAUGGGGAUGCGUUCCAUUAGUUUGUUGGCGGGGUAACGGCCCACCAAGACUACGAUGGAUAGGGGUUCUGAGAGGAAGGUCCCCCACAUUGGAACUGAGACACGGUCCAAACUCCUACGGGAGGCAGCAUG